AACGCUGCCGGCAGGCUUAUUCAUGCAAGUACGCGGAGAUGAGGUGCUUGCACCUUAUCUUAGUCGGCGGACGGGUGAGUAAUGCUUAGGAAUCUGCCUAUCUAGUGGGGGACAACAUUUCGAAAGAGAAUGCUAAUACACGCAUACGCCCUACGGUGGUGAAAGCAGGGGAUCUUCGGACCUUGCGCUAAUAGAUGAGCCUAAGUCGGAUUAGCUAGUUGGUGGGGUAAAGGCCUACCAAGGCGACGAUCUGUAGCGGGUCUGAGAGGAUGAUCCGCCACACUGGGACUGAGACACGGCCCAGACUCCUACGGGAGGCAGCAGUGGGGAAUAUUGGACAAUGGGGGGAACCCUGAUCCAGCCAUGCCGCGUGUGUGAAGAAGGCCUUUUGGUUGUAAAGCACUUUAAGCGAGGAGGAGGAGCUCUAGAUUAAUACUCUAGAUGCUUGGACGUUACUCGCAGAAUAAGCACCGGCUAACUCUGUGCCAGCAGCCGCGGUAAUACAGAGGGUGCAAGCGUUAAUCGGAUUUACUGGGCGUAAAGCGUGCGUAGGUGGUCUUUUAAGUCGGAUGUGAAAUCCCUGAGCUUAACUUAGGAAUUGCAUUCGAUACUGGGAGACUAGAGUAUGGGAGAGGAUGGUAGAAUUCCAGGUGUAGCGGUGAAAUGCGUAGAGAUCUGGAGGAAUACCGAUGGCGAAGGCAGCCAUCUGGCCUAUUACUGACACUGAGGUACAAAAGCAUG
Molecule: ribosomal RNA, 741 nt
Filed under: Acinetobacter sp. PG7
Lineage: Bacteria; Pseudomonadati; Pseudomonadota; Gammaproteobacteria; Moraxellales; Moraxellaceae
Description: bacterial SSU rRNA
Rfam family: Bacterial small subunit ribosomal RNA
Source: RNAcentral